Molecule: small RNA, 334 nt
Filed under: Histoplasma capsulatum var. duboisii H88
Lineage: Eukaryota; Fungi; Ascomycota; Eurotiomycetes; Onygenales; Ajellomycetaceae
Description: Histoplasma capsulatum H88 hypothetical RNA
Source: RNAcentral
CCGGUGGCCGCACUUUGUCAGAUAAACAACCCUUCGGGUAUUUCAUGCUACGAAUGGCCAAAAGGACGCUCUGCAACUAUUCUUCGCCAUACAAAGUCCCGUUGUUUUCAUUUUUGAGCUAAUCACGGGUCAUUAGGACUGCUCGCGACUACUUAACGGGAAGGGUUAUUGAGCACCAUAGGUGAAUGGACAUUCCAAAGGAAGAAGUGAGGGGAUACAUUGGUAGUGCCUCUUACAGCUCCAGGGAGCCUUCCUCUCUAUUCCUAGGGCUUAGGGUUGAUUCGAUUGGUUGGUUCAUCUAAGAGUAAUAUUGAUCGGAAUCUGGACAACUGUU